CGGUUUUAGUGGCGGACGGGUGAGUAACGCGUGGGUAACCUGCCUCACACUGGGGGAUAACACUUAGAAAUAGGUGCUAAUACCGCAUAAGCGCACGGGACUGCAUGGUCUUGUGUGAAAAACUCCGGUGGUGUGAGAUGGACCCGCGUCUGAUUAGCUGGUUGGCGGGGUAACGGCCCACCAAGGCGACGAUCAGUAGCCGGCCUGAGAGGGUGGACGGCCACAUUGGGACUGAGACACGGCCCAAACUCCUACGGGAGGCAGCAG
This 267-nucleotide ribosomal RNA is filed under the name uncultured bacterium. RNAcentral describes it as "partial 16S ribosomal RNA". It matches the Rfam family "Bacterial small subunit ribosomal RNA", at positions 87 to 354 of the family's 1533-position model. The record is from RNAcentral.